CCCUCAACUCCUCAAGUCCCAACUACACCCUCAACCCCUCAAGUUCCAAGGGUACCAUUUAUCCCACCCUUCUCAUCUCUAACUUGUGCUGAAACCUCAGUUAAUUUAGGUUUGUGUUGGGCUCGAGCUUCGGUAGGUACAGCUUUUCAUAAUUAUCAAUUGGCUGCAGGAUGUUGUGAUAUGUUUACACAAUGGAGUCGCGGUUGCUUUGGUGGAAAUGACGAAAUUCCAAGAAUCGUCUCCAAUUUUGUUCCUCCAGCUUUGGUUCAAUAUUGUGCAACCCUUCAUUAGUCAAUUAGUAUUAUUUAGAUUUCUAUAGUAUGGCUAAGCAUAAUUAUGUUUCAGCAUCAUAAUUAGCUUUAUAUCUUAGGAAAAUUAGUUUAUUAUUUAGAUUUCUAUAGUAGUGUCUACAUAAUGUCUCACUGCAUAUUUGAGACAUUAUUAAAUAAAGUUAUGAUGUUUAAGCAGUUUUCUCUUAGUUUAAUUUUUUUUUAUCACUAAAUAUUAUUAGAGUUAAAUCCUUCACUCUCUUAGUCCUAUGAUUUUUUUUUAAAUUACAUACGCAAAAGUGAUGACCCACAGAACUACAGAAUUUCAUUUUUUUUUUAGAACUCAUAAUAUUCAACAUCAAACUUCGUGGAUAAUAUUUUUUUAGAUAAUUUAAUUUCAUAAAAAUUAUCUAUUUAAUUAUUAUUUAUUCUUUUCAUCCUAUAAAUUAGAUUUAAACUGAAUGAGAUUUAAAUAGAAAAUAUUAUAAAUGCAUAUAUAUUCUUAUAAAACUAGUACCAUAAUUGAAUAAAAUUUGUUUGUUAAGAAAUUUUCUUGCUUAGUUUUAUGAUUUUUUAUAGUAAGUUGGUUUUAUUUUUACCUAUAUUUAAUUUGAUGAAUAUUUUAUGUAAUUUGAAAAAAAAAAUUGAUUUUUGAAUCCAAAGCAUAUAUACAUUAUAUAAAAUGAAAAAAGAAAAUUUUAAUAAUUAUGAUUAUAAAAUUAAUAGACGUCACUUAAUUUUUAUAUUUUUAAUUAUUUAUUUAUUAAUUUAUGGAAAAGUGCUGUUUUAUAAAAAUUAAAGAAAAUUAAACUUAUACAUAAAAAUUAAUAAAAUAAUAAAUUAAUAUCAAAUAUUUCUAAUAUCUUUUAUGUUAAUAAAUUUUUUUAAAAAAAUAUGCAUUAUCUAUGAAUUUCUAUAACUUCAUAACUUAACAUUACGAUUUAUAUAUUAAUCUUUAAAAAAAAAAAUUGUUAGUAUAUUAAUCAAAUUAUAUUUAGUAAACUGUUAAUAAGAAUUCUAUUACAUAACCAAUUAUUUACAAUAUUCAUAAUGGAACUGAUUUUUCAAUGUAUACAAUUAUGAUAAAUAAGAUCAAAUAUCAAAAUUAUGAACUUAUAAAUUAAGAGAUACAAAAUAUAUUUAUUUACCUUUUUACGUUCUAAAUACUUUUAAGAAAAAGAGAAGUUCUUUCUAUUUUUUUAAGAAGGAAAUAAAUAUUAAUUGGCUAAUUGAUUUUAAAGGUCAAUUUUUACGUAAUUUAAUCAUUUUAUUUCAAUUUUUUAAUUUUAAUAAAUUAGUUUAAUAUUAAAAUUUUAUAAAAAAAAAAAAAGAAAUUUACAAAUUUAGUCAGUUGAUAGGUAUAUCUAAAUAAAUCAGUCUCUAAUUUUUAUUAAAAAAAAAAACACGAGGAGAGAAGAAUAAAAAGAGAAUAAGUAAAAUUAAUUAGCACCAUUAUUAUAUAGUAUAUAUACAACAUAAAACUUAAAAAAUCACAAACUAAAUUACUAAAAAAAUUAAAAUUAUAAAAAAAACUAAAAAGUAUUAAAUAUUAAUUAUAAUUAAUAAUAAAAUAGAUAAAUAUGCAAAAGUAAAAAAAUUGCGAUAAAAAAAAUAGAAAGAACUUAUCUCUUUUUCUUAAAAAUAUUGUGAAAAUAUUAAGAAUGAUGUUAAAAAAAUAUUUUCUAUGUGAUAAAAAUAAUUAUUAUAAUUUCAUUUAAAAAUAAUAAGAAUAAUAAAAAAUAAAUCAAUUUAAAUUUAUAAUUAAUUUAUUUAAAAUUAAAUUCUAUUAUUUUAAAAUUUAUUCUGAGUAAAAAAAUUAUGAAAUUGUCUUUUUAAGAAAUGCAUUGCAAACAAGGGAGAAAAAAAGUGGAUGACCCACAAAACUAAAGAAUUUAAUUUUUUUUUUUCCAAAAAUAAUCACAAUAUUCAGCAUCUAUUUCAUGGAUAACAUUUUUUAGGGAUAAUUUUAAACAAUAAUUAAAAAUAAAAAUUUGAAUUCAAAAGAAUUUCGGAAGUUUGGAAAAGCAACUUCUCCUUAAUAAAAUAGAAAACUGAUUACAAAUCUAGUUUUGAAUUUUCUUUUUAUUUUCUUUUCUGUAUUUUCUGUGCUUGGGAAGACUACCAUGAUUUGUAUUCCUUCUUAAAUAAACUUGUUUGAAUCAUACGAUACAUAAAUUUUUGUUUGGUGGUAUAAGAAUUUAAUUCUAUAAAUAUAUAUUAAUUAUAAGUUUGAAUCCUAAUUGAAACCUAUAAAAAGAAGCCACAAAAUUCUGAAAUUAAAGCAAUUCUUAUAUAAUUUUUUUUUAAAAAAAAUCACAAUAUACAUCAUUAAUUUCAUGAAUAAUUUUUUUUGAUAAUUUUAAUAGGUAAUUUAAUUUUAUAGGAGUUAUCUAACUAAUUAUUGUUUUCGAUAUAUCAACAUUCAAAAUAUCAUAUGGAUAGUUUGAUAGAUAAUUUAUAAGUAACAAACCUUAUUUUCCAUUUGAGUUUUCAAAUUAGAGAUAAUGACUCUUGAUAUUUAAUUAAAUUAACUUUAGAAUAGGUUAAAUAAUAUUUAAAAAAAAUAAUUUAUUUCUAGAUAAUAAAACGAGUUAUUCUAAUUUAAUUAGAACACUAUCUCAUAAUCUUGUGAUAGUAUUAUAAAUACGCAACUGUUUAAUAAUAUUAAAAUCAUUCCUAUUAUAUUAUUGAUACUGUAGAACAAAAAAAAAAUUAGUUGUUUUUUUAGUAAAAAUGAGAUCUUCAAUUCUGUUCUUAUGUGUUCUUAUUUGCUUAGCAAAGUUGAGGGAGGGGUUAGCAAAUCCUGUUACUUCAGAGGCCACAACUUCAGAUGCUGCUAUUUCAAAAACUGCUUUGAUUGAUUGUGGUUGUACUGCUAUUUGUUUUGGCUGCCCCUAUAAGAUAAAUUGGGUUCAACCUAGACGUGGUUUGAUUGGGAGAUAUUGCACAUGUACUUGCAAUUGUCCACCAAAUCCUUUCCUCCCUAAUCCUACUAAGCCAACACCAUCAACUCCUCAAGUUCCAAGCACGCCAUCAACUCCACAAAUUCCAAAAGUUCCAAAACUUCCAACUACACCAUCAACUCCUCAAAUUCCAAACACACCAACUCAUCAAGUUCCAACUACACCCUCAACCCCUCAAGUUCCAAAUACACCAACUCCUCAAGUUCCAACUACACCCUCAACCCCUCAAGUCCCAGGGAUACCAUUUAUCCCACCCACCUCAUUUCUAACUUGUGCUGAAACCUCAGUGAAUUUAGGUUUGUGUUGGGCUCGAGCUUCGGUAGGUACAGCUUUUCAUAAUUUUCAAUUGGCUGCAGGAUGUUGUGAUAUGUUUACACAAUGGAGUCGUGGUUGCUUUGGUGGAAAUGAAGAAAUUCCAAGAAUAGUCUCCAAUUUUGUUCCUCCAGCUUUGGUUCAAUAUUGUGCAACCCUUCAUUAGUCAAUUAGUAUUAUUUAGAUUUUUAUAGUACUUCAAUGUCUU
RNAcentral lists this long non-coding RNA (3752 nucleotides) under Manihot esculenta (cassava). Its description in RNAcentral is "long non-coding RNA (MESC_LNC006820)". Lineage: Eukaryota; Viridiplantae; Streptophyta; Magnoliopsida; Malpighiales; Euphorbiaceae. The record is from RNAcentral.